Molecule: Y RNA, 91 nt
Filed under: Microcebus murinus (gray mouse lemur)
Lineage: Eukaryota; Metazoa; Chordata; Mammalia; Primates; Cheirogaleidae
Description: Y RNA (ENSMICG00000046705.1)
Rfam family: Y RNA
About the family: Y RNAs are components of the Ro ribonucleoprotein particle (Ro RNP), in association with Ro60 and La proteins.
Source: Rfam by way of RNAcentral
GGCUGGUUCAAUUUACAACCAAUUGAUCACAACUAGUUACAGAUUUCUUUGUUCCUUCUCCAUUCCCAGUGCUUCACUUGACUAGCCAAAA